UUCCAUGAUGAUCCGACAACACAAAGACAAGCAUAUGUCAGAGCUUUUGCGACGAUGACACCUGUCAUGUCUGAUC
Molecule: small nucleolar RNA, 76 nt
Filed under: Neurospora crassa
Lineage: Eukaryota; Fungi; Ascomycota; Sordariomycetes; Sordariales; Sordariaceae
Description: box C/D snoRNA CD21
Source: RNAcentral